GAGGGUGGAGCUGGAGGGAGCCUACUGUCCUGCAGCACUUGCUGCCCCUGCUCCAGAGUCGCCCGGAGCAGCUAGGGCUUGCAGGGAAUCCAGGACCAAGCGGGAUCGGGGCCAGUAGACACCCACCUCUAACCUGGACCUGGAGAACAAGAAAACACCCCACUCCAAAUUGCCAUGGCAAUAGCACGUGAACGUGUUCCUGGCCGCAGGCAGGUCACCCUGCGUGGAGGAGCUGCACCAGGAGGCCCAGUUCAAUCUCCAGAGCUUGCUACAAGAGGAGUAUGAGGAGCAGUACACAGAGGCUAGGGUCACUGGUCAGACCUUCCACUACGCCAGCCACCUGCCCCUGGACAUGCCCCCUGAGCCCUCUCCCAGGCCUCUGCCCACCAAGCGCCUGGAGUUCGUGUUUAUGCCCGCAGCUCGGCAAGUGAAUGAGGACGAGGCCACCACACUGGGUGUGAGGCCCCCAGAGCCGUUUCUGAGCCUACCCACCACCCCAGACAAGCAGCCAGCCUGGACCCGAGCCUUCCCUUUGCCCACCGUGGAGGAGAAGAGGUGGCACCAAUCCUGCUCCAUCCAAGCCAACAUUGUCCCCAUCAAUGUCUCUGGACAGCAUUUUGAUAGGACGCGAGUGCGCGGCACUCCUUGUUUAACACAGAGACCGCGGUGAACCCCAAGUCCACGCUGCGGCGAAGACGG
Molecule: long non-coding RNA, 699 nt
Organism: Gopherus evgoodei (Goodes thornscrub tortoise)
Lineage: Eukaryota; Metazoa; Chordata; Testudines; Testudinidae
Exons: 6
Source: RefSeq, a predicted model, not a curated record